UUUAGGAUUUUAACCUAUUGAAUUAUCAGUAUUCUCUUUUAUUCGAUUUCAAUAUUGCGAUGAGCUUGAAUUUGACAGAUUUGUGGCAUCCCUUUUGGAGCAAUAAAUUUUUUCUCCAUUUCCAAUUUGAGGUAAACAAUUAGUACUACUUUUUUUAUUUCAGCUUAAAUGACAGGUUUUUGGAGCAGAAUUUAGUAUACAUUGGAAAAUUAGCGAAAAAUCUUCAGUUACCUGAGUUCUAAAAAGGAGUUAGGGUUGUGGGUUAGGGAUUUCUCAUGGAAAUGUUUUAGAACAAAAUGGGAUGUUGACUUUCUCCAGCUCUGUUAUGAAAAACGUUUUUGAAAAAAAAUACCUUUUUUUGGGGUGUAAACUUUUUCUUUUUGUAAACUGGGUUUAUUAGGAUUUUUAACUUCUGCAGGGUCUUCUGACGGCAUAGUGGUGGAUAACCUGAGAUGGACUCCACUGAUUUUCACAUUAGAAAGCCCCUUGGAAGAAGAAAAUCUGGUCAUGUAUAAAAUACAAUGAUAAAUAGUAUUUAAUAGAUGGCUAAACUUAUAAUUAGUUUAGCUACUCAACUAAUCAUGCUUUGUUAAUUCAAGAUAUUACUCAUCUGUUGUUGUUUAAUGGAGAUGCCACGCCAUUCUUAUUGCAGGUACAUUUUAGAAAGAAAACUAUUUAUCCUUUUAUUCUUUGAAGUUUAGGUUUAUUGGUGAGCUUGAAGUUUGUGUGGAGGUAGUUCAGUAUGUACAGUAUUUACAGGAGACGGCACAUAAGUAUAAGGCAUUGUAUCAACCUUGGGGGACUUGGAGCCUACAAAAUUUAUGCCAUGGGUAAAUUCUAUACCUACAUUUAUAACUUCCCUAUUGUAAUUAAUAUUGACUCUUCUAAAACAAAUUUACUCUUGCUUCAGUUUGUUAAAAUAUUACAGU
RNAcentral lists this long non-coding RNA (929 nucleotides) under Nicotiana tabacum (common tobacco). Its description in RNAcentral is "long non-coding RNA (NTAB_LNC000188)". The record is from RNAcentral. Lineage: Eukaryota; Viridiplantae; Streptophyta; Magnoliopsida; Solanales; Solanaceae.